GAAGAAACUUUGAUGUCAAAAAUUCUGAUAUCAACAACUCCUUCACUAAUUUCAACUCGAAACCAAGUAGUGAUCUCAAUGAUGGAUGGAAGAUGAUGAACAAUUCCAAUGGACCUCUUUUUUCCAUGCCACACAAUAAUAACUCUUCUUUUGCUGGAUUCAAUAAGGGAAUUUAUUCAUCUCCCUAUGUUAACAACCUUAACAAUAACACCAACAACCUUAGCAACAUCAAUCUUAAUGGUUACAAGUCAGGUUUUAAGGUUGGUGAUGAGUUUCAACUAGGUAACAAAGGUGUCAAGAAGAAUAUCAACAACAAUAACAACAUCAACAAGAAACAUGGAGAUAACACUGAUGUUGCAAAAACUUCUGCUGACAAGAAAUUCAAAACUCUGCCACCGUCUGAGUCCUUACCUAGGAAUGAAACCAUUGGUGGCUAUAUCUUUGUUUGCAACAAUGAUACCAUGGCAGAAAACCUCAAAAGACAGAUCUUUGGUAUGUUUCCUCUAUCCCUCUUUUUAUGAGAUCAUUGUUAUUGCUUUAAUAAUUUUUCCUUUUUUACAUAUGUGCUUCUUAGCUAUAGGGAUUGGUAAUUUUAUACAAUAGAUUUUCUUGUUUUUAAUUUCAUAUUUGUGGUGUUGUGCUUCAUAAGAUUCAUGUGACCAUGGAACUGAGAUCUUACAAAAAAAAGUUAACUGAAUUAUCAAUAGUCUUUGGUGUUUAGGUUGAAAUUUAAUUGUGUAAUUUGGUCUCUAAAUUUUUGGUUUACCUGGUAAAUUUUGUAGGUCUGCCUCCAAGAUACAGAGAUUCAGUUAGAACAAUAACCCCAGGGUUACCCCUUUUUCUGUACAACUAUUCCACCCACCAACUCCAUGGUAUUUUUGAGGUAUGUAUCAUUUUUGUGCAUUUAUGUUCUACUAUUAUAAUUGGAAAUAGGAAUCAAUCUUCAAAGGGUAAUAAUAUUAAUAUUUGGUGGUGUUUGUUUAGGCUGCAAGUUUUGGAGGAAGUAAUAUUGAUCCAACAGCUUGGGAGGAUAAGAAGUGCCCUGGUGAAUCUCGUUUCCCUGCUCAGGUAUAAUCUCCAAUCCAAUUAUUAUCAUCGACUUAUUUGUGUUUAUCUACCGGCUUAAAUGCUCAGGAUAGUUUAUGAGAACAAUUUGACUUUGUUUUAUCUUUUGUUAUGGAUACAGCUUAUAUGAUAAACACUUACAGUAUAAGUGCUUAAUUUAACUGUUUGUCUAAAGCUAAUGAAUUUGGACACAUGAUGUUUGCAGGUACAAGUGAUAACUAGAAAAGUUUGUGAGCCAUUAGAGGAGGAUUCCUUUAGACCAAUUCUUCAUCACUAUGAUGGUCCUAAGUUUCGUCUUGAACUGAGUGUGUCUGAGGUAUAAUUUCAUCAUCAAUUUGCACAAUAUUGAUCAUUCAUAUAGUUUUUUUUUUUUUUUAAAUCUCUGAAUUAAACUGUGUCUUUAUUUUUCUUUCAGGCACUGUCUCUUUUGGAUAUUUUUGCUGAUCAGAAUAGUUUCAAUGAUAUUUUCAAAGCUAUACCGGCAUAAAAUGGAAGAAGAUUAAAGAGAAUACAAGAACAUAAUUAUGAAGAAAAUAGAAAAUGAAGAUUGUGGACCUGUAGAGAAGGGUCCUAAGAUAUGACAAUGAAUAUGGUGGAGGAAGAUUUGAUAUUGAGCCUAUAUAUGUAUAAGAGCUAUGGUAUUAUUUGUAUAGAGGUUUUGUGCCUAAUUUCCCCCCUU
RNAcentral lists this long non-coding RNA (1744 nucleotides) under Medicago truncatula (barrel medic). RNAcentral's name for it is "long non-coding RNA (MTRU_LNC000959)". The record is from RNAcentral. Lineage: Eukaryota; Viridiplantae; Streptophyta; Magnoliopsida; Fabales; Fabaceae.